This 204-nucleotide ribosomal RNA is filed under the name uncultured bacterium. RNAcentral describes it as "partial 16S ribosomal RNA". It matches the Rfam family "Bacterial small subunit ribosomal RNA", at positions 1289 to 1500 of the family's 1533-position model. The record is from RNAcentral.
CAGUUCGGAUCGGAGUCUGCAACCCGACUCCGUGAAGCUGGAUUCGCUAGUAAUCGCGCAUCAGCCAUGGCGCGGUGAAUACGUUCCCGGGCCUUGUACACACCGCCCGUCAAGCCAUGGGAGCCGGGGGUGCUUGAAGUGCGUCGCCGCAAGGCGCGCCCUAGAGUAAAGCCGGUGACUGGGGCUAAGUCGUAACAAGGUACC